GUGCCCCCUUCAGCAGCACAUGUGGUAAAAUUGGAAAAAUACACACAAGAUUAGCAUGGCCCUUCUGUAAGCAUGACAGGCAAACUUGUGAAGUGUUCCAUAUUUUU
Arvicanthis niloticus (Nile rat) is the source of this 107-nucleotide small nuclear RNA. The record is from RefSeq and is a predicted model, not a curated record. Lineage: Eukaryota; Metazoa; Chordata; Mammalia; Rodentia; Muridae.